Molecule: ribosomal RNA, 109 nt
Filed under: uncultured eukaryote
Lineage: Eukaryota
Description: partial small subunit ribosomal RNA
Rfam family: Eukaryotic small subunit ribosomal RNA
Source: RNAcentral
UCGCUCCUACCGAUUGAGUGAUCCGGUGAAUAAUGCGGACUGCAGCAUCUGUCAGUUCCUGAAAGAUGCAGCAGAAAGUUUGGUGAACCUUAUCACUUAGAGGAAGGAG